UCUAGGUAAGAGUACCGGGG
This 20-nucleotide non-coding RNA is filed under the name Arabidopsis thaliana (thale cress). Lineage: Eukaryota; Viridiplantae; Streptophyta; Magnoliopsida; Brassicales; Brassicaceae. The record is from RNAcentral.